Molecule: transfer RNA, 93 nt
Filed under: Runella sp.
Lineage: Bacteria; Pseudomonadati; Bacteroidota; Cytophagia; Cytophagales; Spirosomataceae
Description: tRNA-Val
Rfam family: tRNA
About the family: Transfer RNA (tRNA) molecules are approximately 80 nucleotides in length. Their secondary structure includes four short double-helical elements and three loops (D, anti-codon, and T loops).
Source: RNAcentral
AGGAGUUUAGCACAGCUGGUUUGGCGCAUCUGCCUUACAAGCAGAAGGUCGGGGACGUUCGACCGCGGCGGCGGACCGCUCCCUCAACUCCCA